Molecule: ribosomal RNA, 418 nt
Filed under: uncultured bacterium
Lineage: Bacteria
Description: bacterial SSU rRNA
Rfam family: Bacterial small subunit ribosomal RNA
Source: RNAcentral
UGGGGAAUAUUGCGCAAUGGCCUAACGGCUGACGCAGCGACGCCGCGUGUGGGAGGACGCCCCUCGGGGUGUAAACCACUGUUGCCCGGGACGAACAAGCCUUUUCGAGGGCUCUGACGGUACCGGGGGAGGAAGCACCGGCUAACCCCGUGCCAGCAGCCGCGGUAAUACGGAGGGUGCGAGCGUUGUCCGGAAUCACUGGGCGUAAAGGGCGCGUAGGUGGCCGCCUAAGUGUGUGGUGAAAGCCCGGGGCUCAACCCCGGGUCGGCCAUGCAAACUGGGCGGCUGGAGCACUGUAGAGGCAGGCGGAAUUCCGGGUGUAGCGGUGGAAUGCGUAGAGAUCCGGAAGAACACCGGUGGCGAAGGCGGCCUGCUGGGCAGUAGCUGACACUGAGGCGCGACAGCGUGGGGAGCAAAC